This 368-nucleotide transfer-messenger RNA is filed under the name Burkholderiales. Its description in RNAcentral is "Pusillimonas_D thiosulfatoxidans Standard tmRNA". It matches the Rfam family "transfer-messenger RNA". From Rfam's summary of the family: Bacterial tmRNA, also known as 10Sa RNA or SsrA, is named for its dual tRNA and mRNA-like properties. Its role is to liberate the mRNA from a stalled ribosome. RNAcentral also lists the same sequence under 1 other name. The record is from RNAcentral. Lineage: Bacteria; Pseudomonadati; Pseudomonadota; Betaproteobacteria.
GGGGUCGAUCCGGCUUCGACGUGGGUCGCGACGCAGUGUAGGGCAUGCCGAGCACCAGUAAGCUCGUAAAUCCACUGGAAAAAACACAAACGCCAACGACGAGCGUUUCGCUUUAGCCGCCUAGUGCGGUAAGCCGCUGCACUAAUUUGUCUUUGGGUUAGGUAGGGUAAAACCUACAGCAGCGUCAUUUACAAAGAAUCGGAUCUUGCUGGGUCACUCGGCCUGAUCUUAAAUUGACGUGAAUCGCCAAGGAAGGGCCUGUCGGUUGGCACGCUCCAAGGUUAAAAAAUUAAAAUUAACCGAAUAAGCAUGUAGAACUGCCUGUAGAGGGCUUGCGGACGCGGGUUCAAUUCCCGCCGACUCCACCA